This 492-nucleotide ribosomal RNA is filed under the name uncultured bacterium. RNAcentral describes it as "partial 16S ribosomal RNA". It matches the Rfam family "Bacterial small subunit ribosomal RNA", at positions 29 to 507 of the family's 1533-position model. The record is from RNAcentral.
AGUGAACGCUGGCGGUAGGCCUAACACAUGCAAGUCGAACGGCAGCACAGUAAGAGCUUGCUCUUACGGGUGGCGAGUGGCGUACGUGUGAGGAAUACAUCGUAAUCUACUUUUUCGUGGGGGAUAACGUAGGUAAACUUACUCUAAUACCGCAUACGACCUACGGUUGUAAGCAUUGGAUCUUCGGACCUUGCGCGAUUGAAUGAGCCGAUGUCGGAUUAGCUAGUUGGCGGGGUAAAGGCCCACCAAGGCGACGAUCCGUAGCUGGUCUGAGAGGAUGAUCAGCCACACUGGAACUGAGACACGGUCCAGAGUCCUACGGGAGGCAGCAGUGGGGAAUAUUGGACAAUGGGCGCAAGCCUGAUCCAGCGAUACCGAGUGGGUGAAGAAGGCCUUCGGGUUGUGAAGCCCUUUUGUUGGGAAAGAAAAGCAGCAGGUUAAUACCACGCUGUUCUGACGGUACCCAAAGAAUAAGCACCGGCUAACUUCGUG